RNAcentral lists this ribosomal RNA (253 nucleotides) under uncultured bacterium. RNAcentral's name for it is "partial 16S ribosomal RNA". It matches the Rfam family "Bacterial small subunit ribosomal RNA", at positions 524 to 776 of the family's 1533-position model. The record is from RNAcentral.
UACGAAUGGGGCAAGCGUUGUUCGGAAUCACUGGGCUUAAAGCGUGCGCAGGCGGUCUUGCAAGUCAGGGGUGAAAUCCCGGGGCUUAACCCCGGAAUUGCUUUUGAAACUGCAAGACUAGAAUAUGGGAGAGGUUAGCAGAAUUCCGAGUGUAGAGGUGAAAUUCGCAGAUAUUCGGAGGAAUACCAGUGGCGAAGGCGGCUAACUGGACCAUUAUUGACGCUCAGGCACGAAAGCGUGGGGAGCAAACGGG